Molecule: transfer RNA, 64 nt
Filed under: Amphionides reynaudii
Lineage: Eukaryota; Metazoa; Arthropoda; Malacostraca; Decapoda; Pandalidae
Description: tRNA-Arg
Source: RNAcentral
AGUUAAGAAGUGAACCAUCACACUUAGUUUCGGCCUAAGCUUUGGCAUUUUAUGCCCUUAAUUG